AGAGUUUGAUCAUGGCUCAGGAUAAACGCUGGCGGCGCACAUAAGACAUGCAAGUCGAACGGACUAAGCUCAUUCUUUUAGUUUGAGCAAGGUUAGUGGCGGACUGGUGAGUAAUGCGUGAGCAACCUGCCUAUCAGAGGGGAAUAACAGUGAGAAAUCAUUGCUAAUACCGCAUAUGCUAGUAGUAUCACAUGAUACAGCUAGGAAAGGAGCAAUCCACUGAUAGAUGGGCUCACGUCUGAUUAGCUAGUUGGUGGGGUAACGGCCUACCAAGGCGACGAUCAGUAGCCGGACUGAGAGGUUGAACGGCCACAUUGGGACUGAGAUACGGCCCAGACUCCUACGGGAGGCAGCAGUCGGGAAUAUUGCGCAAUGGAGGAAACUCUGACGCAGUGACGCCGCGUAUAGGAAGAAGGUUUUCGGAUUGUAAACUAUUGUCGUUAGGGAAGAUACAAGACAGUACCUAAGGAGGAAGCCCCGGCUAACUAUGUGCCAGCAGCCGCGGUAAUACAUAGGGGGCAAGCGUUAUCCGGAAUUAUUGGGUGUAAAGGGUGCGUAGACGGAGAAGCAAGUUGGUUGUGAAAUCCCUCGGCUCAACUGAGGAACUGCAACCAAAACUACUUUCCUUGAGUGUCGGAGAGGAAAGUGGAAUUCCUAGUGUAGCGGUGAAAUGCGUAGAUAUUAGGAGGAACACCGGUGGCGAAGGCGACUUUCUGGACGAUAACUGACGUUGAGGCACGAAAGUGUGGGGAGCAAACAGGAUUAGAUACCCUGGUAGUCCACACCGUAAACGAUGGAUA
This 800-nucleotide ribosomal RNA is filed under the name uncultured bacterium. RNAcentral's name for it is "bacterial SSU rRNA". It matches the Rfam family "Bacterial small subunit ribosomal RNA", at positions 8 to 815 of the family's 1533-position model. The record is from RNAcentral.